This 776-nucleotide ribosomal RNA is filed under the name uncultured Neocallimastigales. RNAcentral's name for it is "partial large subunit ribosomal RNA". It matches the Rfam family "Eukaryotic large subunit ribosomal RNA", at positions 23 to 647 of the family's 3401-position model. The record is from RNAcentral. Lineage: Eukaryota; Fungi; Neocallimastigomycota; Neocallimastigomycetes; Neocallimastigales.
AGAGAGAGACAUGCGCGCAUAUCAAUAAGCGGAGGAAAAGGAAACUAACAAGGAUUCCCCUAGUAACGGCGAGUGAAGCGGGAAGAGCUCAAAUUUGAAAUCUUAAAGGGUUUCCCUUUACGAAUUGUAGUUUAAAGAAGUGUUUUCUGUUGAGGUUUUGGUAAAAGUUCUUUGGAAUAGGACAUCAUAGAGGGUGAGAAUCCCGUAUUUGACCUUUACUUUCAACUUUGUGAUACACUUUCAAAGAGUCGGAUUGUUUGGGAAUGCAGUCCAAAAUGGGUGGUAAAUUUCAUCUAAAGCUAAAUAUUGGCGAGAGACUGAUAGCGAACAAGUACCGUGAGGGAAAGAUGAAAAGAACUUUGAAAAGAGAGUUAAACAGUACGUGAAAUUGUCAAAAGGGAAGCGUUUGACACCAGUGUUGUUUUUCUGAAAAUCAAUUAAAGAACUGUUUAUGCUAAGCUGUUUAGACUUUAUCAGCUAUCUGUUUAGUUUUGAGCUUUUCUUUAAUGCACUUUUCAGUUAACAAGUCAACAUCAAUUUCUUUUGCUGUAAAAAAGCUUGAGGAAGGUGGCUUGAGAUUCGUCUUAAGUGUUUAUAGCCUCUUGCCUAUGCAGUCGGAGAGAUUGAGGUCUGCAGCGUAGAUCCUUCGGGGCUAAAUGCAGCUUGUGCUAAGUUAUAGCAUUUUAUAGACAACUUGUUGACUAUGAUUUGUCUUGUAGCUUACUCGCUUAUGUUAUUUUACCUACGCUUAGGAUGUUGACGCAUGAGAUAUACGC